ACUCCUACGGGAGGCAGCAGUGGGGAAUAUUGCACAAUGUGCGCAAGCCUGAUGCAGCCAUGCCGCGUGUGUGAAGAAGGCCUUCGGGUUGUAAAGCACUUUCAGUCGUGAGGAAGGUAGUGUAGUUAAUAGCUGCAUUAUUUGACGUUAGCGACAGAAGAAGCACCGGCUAACUCCGUGCCAGCAGCCGCGGUAAUACGGAGGGUGCGAGCGUUAAUCGGAAUUAACUGGGCGUAAAGCGCAUGCAGGUGGUUGUUAAGUCAGAUGUGAAAGCCCGGGGCUCAACCUCGGAAUAGCAUUUGAAACUGGCAGACUAGAGGUACUGUAGAGGGGGUAGAAUUUCAGGUGUAGCGGUGAAAUGCGUAGAGAUCUGAAGGAAU
RNAcentral lists this ribosomal RNA (380 nucleotides) under uncultured bacterium. RNAcentral describes it as "bacterial SSU rRNA". It matches the Rfam family "Bacterial small subunit ribosomal RNA", at positions 335 to 707 of the family's 1533-position model. The record is from RNAcentral.